This 754-nucleotide non-coding RNA is filed under the name Trichomonas vaginalis G3. RNAcentral describes it as "Eukaryotic small subunit ribosomal RNA". It matches the Rfam family "Eukaryotic small subunit ribosomal RNA", at positions 1 to 942 of the family's 1831-position model. The record is from Rfam by way of RNAcentral. Lineage: Eukaryota; Parabasalia; Trichomonadida; Trichomonadidae.
UACUUGGUUGAUCCUGCCAAGGAAGCACACUUAGGUCAUAGAUUAAGCCAUGCAAGUGUUAGUUCAGGUAACGAAACUGCGAAUAGCUCAUUAAUACGCUCAGAAUCUAUUUGGCGGCGACCAACAGGUCUUAAAUGGAUAGCAGCAGCAACUCUGGUGCUAAUACAUGCGAUUGUUUCUCCAGAUGUGAAUUAUGGAGGAAAAGUUGACCUCAUCAGAGGCACGCCAUUCGACUGAGUGACCUAUCAGCUUGUACUUAGGGUCUUUACCUAGGUAGGCUAUCACGGGUAACGGGCGGUUACCGUCGGACUGCCGGAGAAGGCGCCUGAGAGAUAGCGACUAUAUCCACGGGUAGCAGCAGGCGCGAAACUUUCCCACUCGAGACUUUCGGAGGAGGUAAUGACCAGUUCCAUUGGUGCCUUUUGGUACUGUGGAUAGGGGUACGGUUUUCCACCGUACCGAAACCUAGCAGAGGGCCAGUCUGGUGCCAGCAGCUGCGGUAAUUCCAGCUCUGCGAGUUUGCUCCCAUAUUGUUGCAGUUAAAACGCCCGUAGUCUGAAUUGGCCAGCAAUGGUCGUACGUAUUUUUACGUUCACUGUGAACAAAUCAGGACGCUUAGAGUAUGGCCACAUGAAUGACUCAGCGCAGUAUGAAGUCUUUGUUUUCUUCCGAAAACAAGCUCAAUGAGAGCCAUCGGGGGUAGAUCUAUCUCAUGACGAGUGGUGGAAUACUUUGACUCAUGAGAGAGAAGCUG